RNAcentral lists this transfer RNA (77 nucleotides) under Desulfobacteraceae bacterium. Its description in RNAcentral is "tRNA-Arg". It matches the Rfam family "tRNA". From Rfam's summary of the family: Transfer RNA (tRNA) molecules are approximately 80 nucleotides in length. Their secondary structure includes four short double-helical elements and three loops (D, anti-codon, and T loops). Further hydrogen bonds mediate the characteristic L-shaped molecular structure. tRNAs have two regions of fundamental functional importance: the anti-codon, which is responsible for specific mRNA codon recognition, and the 3' end, to which the tRNAs corresponding amino acid is attached (by aminoacyl-tRNA synthetases). tRNAs cope with the degeneracy of the genetic code in two manners: having more than one tRNA (with a specific anti-codon) for a particular amino acid; and 'wobble' base-pairing, i.e. permitting non-standard base-pairing at the 3rd anti-codon position. Lineage: Bacteria; Pseudomonadati; Thermodesulfobacteriota; Desulfobacteria; Desulfobacterales; Desulfobacteraceae. The record is from RNAcentral.
GCGCCUGUAGCUCAGCCGGAUAGAGCAACGGACUUCUAAUCCGUAGGCCGGGGGUUCGAAUCCCUCCAGGCGCGCCA